GUUCGAUCUGGCUCAGAUUGAACGCUGGCGGGAUGCUUUACACAUGCAAGUCGAACGGCGGCACGGACUUCGGUCUGGUGGCGAAAUUGGCGAACGGGUGAGUAAUGUAUCGGAACGUGCCUAGUAGCGGGGAUAUGCGAAAGCGUAGCUAAUACCGCAUACGCCCUUCGGGGAAAGCGGGGGACCUUCGGGCCUCGCACUAUUAGAGCAGCCGAUAUCGGAUUAGCUAGUUGGUGAGGUAACGGCUCUACCAAGGCGACGAUCCGUAGCUGGUUUGAGAGGACGACCAGCCACACUGGGACUGAAGGACACGGCCCAGACUCCUACGGGAGGCAGCAGUGGGGCCUGGACAAUGGGGGGGAAACCCUGAUCCAGCCAUCCCGCGUGUGCGAUGAAGGCCUUCGGGUUGUAAAGCACUUUUGGCAGGAAAGAAACGGCACGGGAUAAUACCCGUGCAACUGACAGUACCUGCAGAAUAGCACCAGUAACCACGUGCCAGCAGCGGUAAUACGCUGGGUGCAAGCGUUAAUCAGAUUACUGGGCGUAAAGCGUGCGCCGGCGGUUCGGAAAGAAGAUGUGAAAUCCCAGAGCUUAACUUUGCGGAACUGCAUUUUUAACUACCGAGCUAGAGUGUGUCAGAGGGAGGUGGAAUUCCGCGUGUAGCAGUGAAAUGCGUAGAUAUGCGGAGAGGAACACCGAUGGCGAAGGCAGCCUCCUGGGAUAACACUGACGCUCAUGCGAAAGCGUGGGGGAACCGACAGGAUUAGAUACCUGGUAGUCCACGCCUAAACGAUGUCAACUAGCUGUUGGGGCCUUCAGACGCCCGGUAGCGCAGCUAACGCGUGAAGUUGACCGCCUGGGGAUACGGUCGCAAGAUUAAAAAACUCAAAGGAAUUGACGGGACCCGCGCACAAGCGGUGGAUGAUGUGGAUUAAUUCGAUGCAACGCGAAAAACCUUACCUACCGCCGGUAUGUCCUGAGAUCCCGAGAGAUUUGAGAGUGCUCGCAAGAGAACCGGAACACAGGUGCUGCAUGGCUGUCAUCGCUCAUCAUCAGUGGGAUGUUGGGUUGAUCCCGCAACGAGCGCAACCCUUGUCAUUAGUUGCUACGAAAGGGUACUCUAAUGAGACUGCCGGUGGCAAACCCGGAGGAGGAAGUGGGGAUGACGUGGAUCCUCAUGGCCCAUAUGGGUAGGGCUUCACACGUCAUACAAUGGUGGGACAGAGGGUCGCCAACCCACGAGGGAGCCAAUCCCAGAAACCCGAUCGUAGUCCGGAUCGCAGUCUGCAACUCGACUGCGUGAAGUCGGAAUCGCUAGUAAUCGCGGAUCAGCAUGUCGCGGUGAAUACGUUCCCGGGUCUUGUACACACCGCCCGUCACACCAUGGGGUGGGUUUUACCAGAAGUAGUUAGCCUAACCGUAAGGAGGGCGAUUACCACGGUAGGAUUCGCGGUAAGGGUGAAGUCGUAAUAAAGGC
RNAcentral lists this ribosomal RNA (1477 nucleotides) under uncultured Bordetella sp. RNAcentral describes it as "partial 16S-23S ribosomal RNA intergenic spacer". It matches the Rfam family "Bacterial small subunit ribosomal RNA". Lineage: Bacteria; Pseudomonadati; Pseudomonadota; Betaproteobacteria; Burkholderiales; Alcaligenaceae. The record is from RNAcentral.